AUUGAACGCUGGCGGCAGGCCUAACACAUGCAAGUCGAGCGGCAGCGGGAAAGUAGCUUGCUACUUUUGCCGGCGAGCGGCGGACGGGUGAGUAAUGCCUGGGGAUCUGCCCAAUCGAGGGGGAUAACUACUGGAAACGGUAGCUAAUACCGCAUACGCCCUACGGGGGAAAGCAGGGGACCUUCGGGCCUUGCGCGAUUGGAUGAACCCAGGUGGGAUUAGCUAGUUGGUGAGGUAAUGGCUCACCAAGGCGACGAUCCCUAGCUGGUCUGAGAGGAUGAUCAGCCACACUGGAACUGAGACACGGUCCAGACUCCUACGGGAGGCAGCAGUGGGGAAUAUUGCACAAUGGGGGAAACCCUGAUGCAGCCAUGCCGCGUGUGUGAAGAAGGCCUUCGGGUUGUAAAGCACUUUCAGCGAGGAGGAAAGGUGGUUGGCUAAUACCCAAUCGCUGUGACGUACUCGCAG
RNAcentral lists this ribosomal RNA (468 nucleotides) under Aeromonas sp. AE237. RNAcentral's name for it is "bacterial SSU rRNA". It matches the Rfam family "Bacterial small subunit ribosomal RNA", at positions 30 to 484 of the family's 1533-position model. Lineage: Bacteria; Pseudomonadati; Pseudomonadota; Gammaproteobacteria; Aeromonadales; Aeromonadaceae. The record is from RNAcentral.